This 512-nucleotide unclassified non-coding RNA is filed under the name Hevea brasiliensis (rubber tree). Lineage: Eukaryota; Viridiplantae; Streptophyta; Magnoliopsida; Malpighiales; Euphorbiaceae. The record is from RNAcentral.
UUGGGAAAUUUUCAAUAAAAUCUGAUGUAUUCAGUUUUGGGGUUAUAUUAUUAGAGAUGAUAAGUGGAAAGAGGAGCAAUGGCUUUAUCCAAGAGGAUGCUUCGUAUAGUUUGAUCGGGCAGGUGUGGGAGUUAUGGAGAGAAGGCAGAGCAUUGGAAAUAGUUGAUUCAUCAUUGGAGGAGUCAUAUAAUUCUCAAGAAGUCUUGAGAUGCAUUCAAAUAGGACUCAUAUGCGUGCAAGAAAAUGCAGUGGACAGACCUACUAUGUCAGCUGUUAUUCUAAUGUUGAGCAGUGAAACAACUCUUUCUUCUCCUAAACAACCUGCUUUUGUUUUCAGGAAUUCUUUGAACACUACCAACUCAAGAGUAGGAGAAGGAUCCUGUUCUGUCAAUGAAUUGUCAAUUACUGCAGUUACAACUCGAUAGUUUCUGAAUUUAUGUACGAUUAAUCAUAUGAUGAUAUUCUAACUGAGAUAUAUUGUACAGAAUUAUCAAUGGGAAUUUUAAUUUAUC